Molecule: non-coding RNA, 117 nt
Filed under: Pan troglodytes (chimpanzee)
Lineage: Eukaryota; Metazoa; Chordata; Mammalia; Primates; Hominidae
Source: Rfam by way of RNAcentral
GCCGGGCAUGGUGGCUCAUGCCUGUAAUCCGAGCACUUUGGGAGGCUGAGGCAGGCGGAUCACCUGAGGUCAGGAGUUCAAGACUAGCCUGGCCAACAUGGUAAAACCCUGUCUCUA